This 253-nucleotide ribosomal RNA is filed under the name uncultured prokaryote. RNAcentral describes it as "partial 16S ribosomal RNA". It matches the Rfam family "Bacterial small subunit ribosomal RNA", at positions 525 to 777 of the family's 1533-position model. The record is from RNAcentral.
ACGAACCGUGCGGACGUUGUUCGGAAUCACUGGGCUUAAAGGGCGCGUAGGCGGCCGGGUUGGUCGUGGGUGAAAUCCCCCAGCUUAACUGGGGAACUGCCUACGAUACUGCCUGGCUCGAGGGAGGAAGGGGCGGUCGGAACUGUCGGUGGAGCGGUGAAAUGCGUUGAUAUCGACAGGAACGCCGGUGGCGAAAGCGGACCGCUGGCCCUCUUCUGACGCUGAGGCGCGAAAGCCAGGGGAGCGAACGGGA